GCUGUUCCUUUGAGAUUGAAAAGAAGAAAAAAAAAAAUUCCUUGUAGCUAACAGAGUUUCUAAAAAUGCAAGUUAGAUGAGAAAGAACAUUUCCUUUAUUCAAAUAAUUACCCAAUGAGAACCUGAUAUAUAUAUAUAUAUAUAUAUUCACCAAAAUUUUGCUUCACUCCAAUUCAACAUAAUUUUGCUGCAUUCCUAUCUAUUAUCUAUAACCUAUAUAAAAAGAACGUAAGAGUGUGUAACGCAUGGUGUAACGUUGGGCUUCUUGGUGUUGCUCUGGUGCUUCUGGUGCUUAUUUGGUUUGUAAAGCAGAUUUGGGCUAGCUACAUGGCCUUCAACUUAGCCACACACACGACCGCAGAACAAAACAAAUUCCACCAUUCCUCCUACAAAUUCCUGAUUCCUUCCUGCACUGAACCUGCGAAGCGGUGGAAAUUGAUUUCUCCUAGAAGAUUCAUUUGUUCGGUGCACCGCUCGGAUAACAAUUGCUAGCAUUCAAGCAAUAUUGCCUCUGCAACUGCCAAAACUUCAGCUAAUUUCUUUACUUGCUCAACUGCUGGAAAGAUUUCUAAUGUGUUGCAAAAGAGAGUCGGUUAGUUAGUGCACAAAGCCAUCUCUAUAUAUGUAUAGAUAUGUGUGUAUACUCUUUGUUCUGUUUCGUUUCUUGUCUUGGUUCAACUUCUUGUUUCUCGGUUCAUAGAUUACUACCCCAAAUCCAUAAUCUGCACUUCUUUGGUGGAGCCAUGGGUGUUUUGACAUCACAGACACUGUUGGGUUCAGCUGGAGUCUCCAAACACAGAGCCACUCUUGGUGCUGUAGCUAUCAAUUGGAUUCUCAAGGAUGGUGCAGGUUGGGUUGGAAAACUGCUUUUUUCUCAGCAAGGGAAAAAAAUUUGAUUAUGAUUUGAAGUAGCUUCGUUUUGCGAGUGAUCUUCUAAUGGAGUUGAGUGCUGGGGUAGAGUUGGCUACUGCAGUUGUGCCACACCUUUUUCUGCCUUUAGCUUGUGCUACCAAUGUGGCCAAGAAUGUUGGUGCUGUCACAUCAACCUCAACUCGCACUCCAAUAUACAAAGCCUUUGCCAAAGGAGAAAACAUUGGGAUGUUACUGCAAAGGGAGAAUGUGUUGGCAAUGUUGCCAAUCUGGUAUGCUUCUCCAACUUCAAUUACAUUUUCCAGAAUCUUGUGUUUGCAUUGGGCCAAUUGAGAACAUAUUUUGAUGGCUGCUAUAGUGACUGUCGACACAAUUAAAUUGAUCUGUGUAUUUUGUACUUCAUUUCCAGUCCUAAUAUUAUUUGGUAUGUUAAAUGGCACCUCAUUGUAUAUGUUACCGCUAUUCGAUAUAAAAAUUAAGACCCCCCCCCCCCCUC
Camellia sinensis is the source of this 1366-nucleotide non-coding RNA. The record is from RefSeq and is a predicted model, not a curated record. Lineage: Eukaryota; Viridiplantae; Streptophyta; Magnoliopsida; Ericales; Theaceae.